Molecule: ribosomal RNA, 605 nt
Filed under: Vulcanisaeta distributa
Lineage: Archaea; Thermoproteati; Thermoproteota; Thermoprotei; Thermoproteales; Thermoproteaceae
Description: bacterial SSU rRNA
Rfam family: Archaeal small subunit ribosomal RNA
Source: RNAcentral
GACCGCUAUCGGGGUGGGGCUAAGCCAUGCGAGUCGUACGCCCGGGGACYGCCGGGCGUGGCGCACGGCUCAGUAACACGUGCCUAACCUACCCUCGGGAGGGGGACAACCCCGGGAAACUGGGGCCAAUCCCCCAUAGGGGAAGGGCGCUGGAAGGCCCCUUCCCCGAAAGGGAUCACGGUCGAUCUACCGUGGUCCGCCCGAGGAUGGGGGCACGGCCCAUCAUGGUAGUUGGCGGGGUAACGGCCCGCCAAGCCGAAGACGGGUGGGGGCCGUGAGAGCGGGAGCCCCGAGAUGGGCACUGAGACAAGGGCCCAGGCCCUACGGGGUGCAGCAGGCGCGAAAACUCCGCAAUGCGGGAAACCGUGACGGGGCCACCCCGAGUGCCGCCCGAAGAGGGCGGCUUUUGCCCGGUGCAAAAAGCCGGGCGAAUAAGCGGGGGGCAAGUCUGGUGUCAGCCGCCGCGGUAAUACCAGCCCCGCGAGUGGUCGGGGUGCUUACUGGGCCUAAAGCGCCCGUAGCCGGCCCGGUAAGUCGUCCCUGAAAUCCACGGGCUCAACCCGUGGGCCGGGGGCGAUACUACSGGGCUUGGGGGCGGGAGAGGC